Molecule: ribosomal RNA, 672 nt
Filed under: Triticum aestivum (bread wheat)
Lineage: Eukaryota; Viridiplantae; Streptophyta; Magnoliopsida; Poales; Poaceae
Description: partial small subunit ribosomal RNA
Source: RNAcentral
AUGUAUGAUGAUGGAACCAGGCAAGGGCACCGGGAUGAACAGGUCCGUGUGAGGGACAUCCCAACGAAGAGGAACCUAAACUCUCAAUUCUCUCAGUCAGCUGAAAACCGCACUGGCGGGCAGAGUAAACCAAGAGAUGGAGAGGUCAACAGCCCUAGGUGCGACAAAACUAAAGGUGCUGAUGGAGGUGAGCAUGAUCUGAGGGAGGGCCUGGAGAUGAGAAGGGAGCAGAACCUAAGGGACAAGCUGAUAGAUACAAAUCUUGAGAGAGAGAGGCGCUAUGCCCGGGAUGUCUCAUGGGAGAGGAAAGGGAAAGACUCGGUUGAGUUUCCACCUAGGGGACACCAUGCUCAUGCAUAUGAUAGGGCCGAUCAACCGAGGGGGGCUGGCGUUCACAGGCAGGAUGGAAGAAGAAGGGGAUACUAUGUAAGAAAACCCAGGCAAAGUCCGGCCUAUGAUCACUGUGAGAGUCAGCGAGAUAGAAUCAGUUUCGAGAACAGGAAACGUAGGCCAUGGAAAGUACGGGUGGCUAAGGGUGAUAUUGAUAGGAUACAUGAACAGGAUGCUUGCAUUCGUGAUACGCGACGUAAAACGUCGACAAUGUUUGACCGCAUUUCAGACAACAUGGAUAGAUCGGCGGACCCCGAGGAACGGGGCCUCCCGGAGCAAUGA